RNAcentral lists this unclassified non-coding RNA (328 nucleotides) under soil metagenome. RNAcentral describes it as "partial contains 5.8S ribosomal RNA, internal transcribed spacer 2, and large subunit ribosomal RNA". The stretch from base 1 to 120 matches the Rfam family "5.8S ribosomal RNA", at positions 35 to 154 of the family's 154-position model. The record is from RNAcentral.
GAUGAAGAACGUAGCGAAAUGCGAUAAGUAGUGUGAAUUGCAGAAUUCAGUGAAUCAUCGAAUCUUUGAACGCACAUUGCGCCCCUUGGUAUCCCGAGGUGCAUGCCUGUUCGAGCGUCAUUUCACCACUCAAGCCUGGCUUGGUGUUGGGCGACGUCCCCUUUGGGGACGCGCCUCGAAACGCUCGGCGGCGUGCACCGGCUUUAAGCGUAGCAGAAUCUUUCGCUUUGGAAGUCGGGGCCCCGUCUGCCGGAAGACCUACUCGCAAGGUUGACCUCGGAUCAGGCAGGGAUACCCGCUGAACUUAAGCAUAUCAAUAAGCGGAGGA